UAAACAGAUAAAUUACACUACAGCGCCUCAGAGGCUUAACACUUAGGCUUAGCCUCUACAGUAGUCUCCCAAAAGAGCACUGCAUGAUGGGUUGGCAUUAUGCAACAUCGGGUCCAAAAUCUCAAGUUGGUUUAACUUGGUGAUACUGUCUUGUGAUGAUUUACAACCGUCACAU
Etheostoma cragini (Arkansas darter) is the source of this 175-nucleotide long non-coding RNA. RefSeq lists it as uncharacterized. The record is from RefSeq and is a predicted model, not a curated record. The transcript has 2 exons. NCBI's taxonomy places the organism in Eukaryota, Metazoa, Chordata, Actinopteri, Perciformes, Percidae.